RNAcentral lists this unclassified non-coding RNA (344 nucleotides) under soil metagenome. RNAcentral describes it as "partial contains 5.8S ribosomal RNA, internal transcribed spacer 2, and large subunit ribosomal RNA". The stretch from base 1 to 120 matches the Rfam family "5.8S ribosomal RNA", at positions 35 to 154 of the family's 154-position model. The record is from RNAcentral.
GAUGAAGAACGCAGCGAAAUGCGAUAAGUAAUGUGAAUUGCAGAAUUCAGUGAAUCAUCGAAUCUUUGAACGCACAUUGCGCCCCCUGGUAUUCCGGGGGGCAUGCCUGUCCGAGCGUCAUUGCUGCCCUCAAGCACGGCUUGUGUGUUGGGCCUCCGUCCUCCUCCCGGGGGACGGGCCCGAAAGGCAGCGGCGGCACCGCGUCCGGUCCUCGAGCGUAUGGGGCUUCGUCACCCGCUCUUGUAGGCCCGGCCGGCGCUUGCCGACACAUCAAUCUUUUUUCCAGGUUGACCUCGGAUCAGGUAGGGAUACCCGCUGAACUUAAGCAUAUCAUAAGCGGAGGA